GGCAAGGUGGCCGAGCGGUCCAAGGCGCCAGGUUCAGGUCCUGGUCUAGAAACAGGUGCGAGUUCGAAUCUCGCCCUUGUCA
This 82-nucleotide transfer RNA is filed under the name Neurospora tetrasperma FGSC 2509. RNAcentral describes it as "tRNA-Leu (CAG) (tRNA-Leu-CAG-3-1)". It matches the Rfam family "tRNA". From Rfam's summary of the family: Transfer RNA (tRNA) molecules are approximately 80 nucleotides in length. Their secondary structure includes four short double-helical elements and three loops (D, anti-codon, and T loops). The record is from RNAcentral. Lineage: Eukaryota; Fungi; Ascomycota; Sordariomycetes; Sordariales; Sordariaceae.